This 440-nucleotide ribosomal RNA is filed under the name uncultured bacterium. RNAcentral describes it as "partial 16S ribosomal RNA". It matches the Rfam family "Bacterial small subunit ribosomal RNA", at positions 338 to 795 of the family's 1533-position model. The record is from RNAcentral.
CCUACGGGAGGCAGCAGUAGGGAAUAUUGCUCAAUGGGGGAAACCCUGAAGCAGCAACGCCGCGUGGAGGAUGAAGGUUUUCGGAUUGUAAACUCCUUUUGUUAGAGAGGAUAAUGACGGUAUCUCACGAUUAAGCACCGGCUAACUCCGUGCUACCAGCAGCGGUAAUACGGAGGGUGCAAGCGUUACACGGAGCCACUGGGUGUAAAGGGGGGGUAGGCGGGAUAGCAAAUCAGAUGUGAAAACCAAUGGCUUAACCCAAGAACUGCAUUUGAAACUGUUAUUCUUGAGUAUGGGAGAGGUAGGUGGAAUUCUGUGUGUAGGGGUAAAAUCCGUAGAGAUAAAGAGGAAUACUCGUUGCGAAGGCGACCUGCUAGAACAUAACUGACGCUGAUGCGCGAAAGCGUGGGGAGCAAACAGGAUUAGAUACCCUAGUAGUC